RNAcentral lists this ribosomal RNA (253 nucleotides) under uncultured bacterium. RNAcentral describes it as "partial 16S ribosomal RNA". It matches the Rfam family "Bacterial small subunit ribosomal RNA", at positions 524 to 776 of the family's 1533-position model. The record is from RNAcentral.
UACGUAGGGUGCGAGCGUUGUCCGGAAUUAUUGGGCGUAAAGGGCUCGUAGGCGGUUUGUCGCGUCGGGAGUGAAAACCAGGUGCUUAACACCUGGCUUGCUUUCGAUACGGGCAGACUAGAGGUAUGCAGGGGAGAACGGAAUUCCUGGUGUAGCGGUGAAAUGCGCAGAUAUCAGGAGGAACACCGGUGGCGAAGGCGGUUCUCUGGGCAUUACCUGACGCUGAGGAGCGAAAGUGUGGGGAGCGAACAGG